CGCGGUGAAUACGUUCCCGGGCCUUGUACACACCGCCCGUCACACCAUGGGAGUGGGUUGCAAAAGAAGUAGGUAGCUUAACCUUUUUGGAUGGCGCUUACCACUUUGUGAUUCAUGACUGGGGUGAAGUCGUAACAAGGUAACCGUAGGGGAACCUGCGGUUGGAUCACCUCCUUACCGAG
Molecule: ribosomal RNA, 182 nt
Filed under: Arsenophonus endosymbiont of Bemisia tabaci Asia II 3
Lineage: Bacteria; Pseudomonadati; Pseudomonadota; Gammaproteobacteria; Enterobacterales; Morganellaceae
Description: partial 16S ribosomal RNA
Rfam family: Bacterial small subunit ribosomal RNA
Source: RNAcentral